ACCUACGGGACGCAGCAGUGGGGAAUAUUGCACAAUGGGGGAAACCCUGAUGCAGCGACGCCGCGUGAGUGAAGAAGUAUUUCGGUAUGUAAGCUCUAUCUGCAGGAACGAGACAUGACGGUACCUGACUAAGAAGCCCCGGCUAACUACGUGCCAGCAGCCGCGGUAAUACGUAGGGGGCAAGCGUUAUCCGGAAUCACUGGGUGUAAAGGGAGCGUAGACGGCUGAGCAAGCCUGAAGUGAAAGGCCGUGGCCCAACCCCCGGCCUGCUUUGGGAACUGUACGGCUGGAGCGCAGGAGAGGGA
Molecule: ribosomal RNA, 305 nt
Filed under: uncultured bacterium
Lineage: Bacteria
Description: bacterial SSU rRNA
Rfam family: Bacterial small subunit ribosomal RNA
Source: RNAcentral